UUGACCUCAAAUCAGGUAGGACUACCCGCUGAACUUAAGCAUAUCAAUAAGCGGAGGAAAAGAAACUAACAAGGAUUCCCCUAGUAACUGCGAGUGAAGCGGGAAAAGCUCAAAUUUGAAAUCUGGCGGUUCCUUGGACUGUCCGAGUUGUAAUCUAGAGAAGUGUUACCUGUGCUGGACCGUGUACAAGUCUCCUGGAAUGGAGCAUCACAGAGGGUGAGAAUCCCGUCUUUGACACGGACUGCCUGUGCGAUAUGGUGCGCUCUCGAAGAGUCGAGUUGUUUGGGAAUGCAGCUCAAAAUGGGUGGUAAAUGCCAUCUAAAGCUAAAUAUUGGCGAGAGACCGAUAGCGAACAAGUACCGUGAGGGAAAGAUGAAAAGAACUUUGGAAAGAGAGUUAAACAGUACGUGAAAUUGCUGAAAGGGAAACGCUUGAAGUCAGUCGCGUCGGCUAGAAAUCAGUCUUGCUUCUGCUUGAUGUACUUUCUGGUCUGACGGGUCAGCAUCAAUUUUGACCGCCGGAUAAAGUCAUCGGGGGUUUAAUCAUCCCGUGUUGCAUACGGUGGUUGGGAUUGAGGAACUCAGCACGCCGCGAGGCCGGGUCCUUUGGACCACAUUCGUGCUCAGGAUGCUGGCAUAAUGGCUUUAAUCGACCCGUC
RNAcentral lists this ribosomal RNA (658 nucleotides) under Inocybe cinnamomea. RNAcentral describes it as "eukaryotic LSU rRNA". It matches the Rfam family "Eukaryotic large subunit ribosomal RNA", at positions 1 to 653 of the family's 3401-position model. The record is from RNAcentral. Lineage: Eukaryota; Fungi; Basidiomycota; Agaricomycetes; Agaricales; Inocybaceae.